Molecule: ribosomal RNA, 420 nt
Filed under: Scyllarus subarctus
Lineage: Eukaryota; Metazoa; Arthropoda; Malacostraca; Decapoda; Scyllaridae
Description: partial 16S ribosomal RNA
Rfam family: Bacterial large subunit ribosomal RNA
Source: RNAcentral
CGGUAUAUUGACCGUGCGAAGGUAGCAUAAUAAUUAGUCUUUUAAUUGAAGACUGGAAUGAAAGGUUGAACAAGAAGUUAGCUGUCUCUAAAUUAAAUUUUGAAUUUAACAUUUAAGUGAAAAGGCUUAAAUAUUUUAAAGGGACGAUAAGACCCUAUAAAUCUUUAUACUUGAUUUUAUAGAGCAAAAUAUUAAAAUAAUUUUUGUUCAAUAGGUUUGGGUAUUUUGUUGGGGCGACGGGAGUAUAAAAUGUAACUGCUCUAAAAUGAUAGUUAGUUGAUAUUUAGUUAAGUGAUCCUUUAAUAAAGAUGUUAGUUUAAGUUACUUUAGGGAUAACAGCGUAAUUUUUUUUGAGAGUCCAUAUCGAAAAAAAAGUUUGCGACCUCGAUGUUGAAUUAAAGAUCCUUUACGGUGCAGAAG